UACGUAGGGUGCGAGCGUUGUCCGGAAUUAUUGGGCGUAAAGAGCUUGUAGGCGGUUUGUCACGUCUGCUGUGAAAUCCCGAGGCUCAACCUCGGGCCUGCAGUGGGUACGGGCAGACUGGAGUGCGGUAGGGGAGAAUGGAAUUCCUGGUGUAGCGGUGGAAUGCGCAGAUAUCAGGAGGAACACCGGUGGCGAAGGCGGUUCUCUGGGCCUGACCUGACGCUGAGGAGCGAAAGCGUGGGGAGCGAACAGG
RNAcentral lists this ribosomal RNA (253 nucleotides) under uncultured bacterium. Its description in RNAcentral is "partial 16S ribosomal RNA". It matches the Rfam family "Bacterial small subunit ribosomal RNA", at positions 524 to 776 of the family's 1533-position model. The record is from RNAcentral.